UACGUAGGGUGCGAGCGUUGUCCGGAUUUAUUGGGCGUAAAGAGCUCGUAGGCGGUUUGUCGCGUCUGCUGUGAAAUCCCGAGGCUCAACCUCGGGUCUGCAGUGGGUACGGGCAGACUGGAGUGCGGUAGGGGAGAAUGGAAUUCCUGGUGUAGCGGUGGAAUGCGCAGAUAUCAGGAGGAACACCGAUGGCGAAGGCAGUUCUCUGGGCCGUAACUGACGCUGAGGAGCGAAAGCGUGGGGAGCGAACAGG
This 253-nucleotide ribosomal RNA is filed under the name uncultured bacterium. RNAcentral describes it as "partial 16S ribosomal RNA". It matches the Rfam family "Bacterial small subunit ribosomal RNA", at positions 524 to 776 of the family's 1533-position model. The record is from RNAcentral.